Molecule: ribosomal RNA, 487 nt
Filed under: uncultured bacterium
Lineage: Bacteria
Description: bacterial SSU rRNA
Rfam family: Bacterial small subunit ribosomal RNA
Source: RNAcentral
GAUGAACGCUAGCGGCAGGCUUAAUACAUGCAAGUCGAGGGGCAUCAAGGUACACGAAAGUGUAUUGUUGGCGACCGGCGGACGGGUGAGUAAUAGGUAGGUAACCUACCUCAUACUGAGGCAUAGCUGGGAGAAAUUCCAGGUAAUUCCUCAUGAGGUUAUAUGACACAUGUGAUAUAAUCAAAGGUAUCGCAAGGUACUGGUAUGAGAUGGGCUUACUGACCAUUAGCUAGUUGGUGAGAUAAGAGCUCACCAAGGCGAAGAUGGUUAGGGGUUUUGAGAGAGAGAUCCCCCACAUUGGAACUGAGAUACGGUCCAGACUCCUACGGGAGGCAGCAGUAGGGAAUAUUGGGCAAUGGGCGGAAGCCUGACCCAGCCAUGCCGCGUGAAGGAAGACGGGCCUUAUGGGUUGUAAACUUCUUUACUAUGCGACUAACUAGAUUUACGAGAUAAUUCUAUAGAAUGUAGCAUAGCAAAAAGCACCGGA